GAGGCAAUUUAAAAUUGAACUUCUAACUCAAUAUUUAAUAGUUAAUUAACUAUUUUGCCUCU
RNAcentral lists this transfer RNA (62 nucleotides) under Pseudomyrmex flavicornis. RNAcentral describes it as "tRNA-Ser". RNAcentral also lists the same sequence under 2 other names. The record is from RNAcentral. Lineage: Eukaryota; Metazoa; Arthropoda; Insecta; Hymenoptera; Formicidae.